Molecule: ribosomal RNA, 506 nt
Filed under: uncultured bacterium
Lineage: Bacteria
Description: partial 16S ribosomal RNA
Rfam family: Bacterial small subunit ribosomal RNA
Source: RNAcentral
AGUGAACGCUGGCGGUAGGCCUAACACAUGCAAGUCGAACGGCAGCACAGGAGAGCUUGCUCUCUGGGUGGCGAGUGGCGGACGGGUGAGGAAUACAUCGGAAUCUACUCUGUCGUGGGGGAUAACGUAGGGAAACUUACGCUAAUACCGCAUACGACCUACGGGUGAAAGCAGGGGACCUUCGGGCCUUGCGCGAUUGAAUGAGCCGAUGUCGGAUUAGCUAGUUGGCGGGGUAAAGGCCCACCAAGGCGACGAUCCGUAGCUGGGCUGAGAAGAGGAUCAGCCACACUGGAACUGAGACACGGUCCAGACUCCUACGGGAGGCAGCAGUGGGGAAUAUUGGACAAUGGGCGCAAGCCUGAUCCAGCCAUACCGCGUGGGUGAAGAAGGCCUUCGGGUUGUAAAGCCCUUUUGUUGGGAAAGAAAUCCAGCUGGCUAAUACCCGGUUGGGAUGACGGUACCCAAAGAAUAAGCACCGGCUAACUUCGUGCCAGCCGCCGCUGUAA